RNAcentral lists this ribosomal RNA (448 nucleotides) under uncultured bacterium. Its description in RNAcentral is "bacterial SSU rRNA". It matches the Rfam family "Bacterial small subunit ribosomal RNA", at positions 28 to 456 of the family's 1533-position model. The record is from RNAcentral.
GAUGAACGCUGGCGGCGUGUUUAACACAUGCAAGUCGAACGAAGCACUUUAUUUGAUUUCCUUCGGGACUGAUUAUUUUGUGACUGAGUGGCGGACGGGUGAGUAACGCGUGGGUAACCUGCCUUGUACAGGGGGAUAACAGUUGGAAACGGCUGCUAAUACCGCAUAAGCGCACGGCAUCGCAUGAUGCAGUGUGAAAAACUCCGGUGGUAUAAGAUGGGCCCGCGUUGGAUUAGCUAGUUGGUGAGGUAACGGCCCACCAAGGCGACGAUCCAUAGCCGACCUGAGAGGGUGACCGGCCACAUUGGGACUGAGACACGGCCCAAACUCCUACGGGAGGCAGCAGUGGGGAAUAUUGCACAAUGGGCGAAAGCCUGAUGCAGCGACGCCGCGUGAGCGAAGAAGUAUUUCGGUAUGUAAAGCUCUAUCAGCAGGGAAGAUAAUGACG